GAUUAACGCUGGCGGCGUGCAUAACACAUGCAAGUCGAACGAUGAAACUUAAAUGAUUUCUUCGGAAUGAACUUAAGUGGAUUAGUGGCGGACGGGUGAGUAACGCGUGAGUAACCUGCCUUACACAAGGGGAUAGCCGUUGGAAACGACGAAUAAUACCCUAUGAAACUAUCACUUCGCAUGAAGCGAUAGUCAAAGUGUUAGCGGUGUAAGAUGGACUUGCGUCUGAUUAGCUAGUUGGUGAGAAAAAAGCCCACCAAGGCAACGAUCAGUAGCCGGCUUGAGAGAGUGUACGGCCAGAUUGGGACUGGGACACGGCCCAGACUCCUACGGGAGGCAGCAGUGGGGAAUUUUGCACAAUGGGGGAAACCCUGAUGCAGCGACGCCGCGUGAUUUAGAAGGCCUUCGGGUUGUAAAAAUCUUUUGUAUAGGAAGAAAAUGACAGUACUAUACGAAUAAGGUCCGGCUAAAUACGUG
Molecule: ribosomal RNA, 477 nt
Filed under: uncultured bacterium
Lineage: Bacteria
Description: partial 16S ribosomal RNA
Rfam family: Bacterial small subunit ribosomal RNA
Source: RNAcentral